This 245-nucleotide ribosomal RNA is filed under the name uncultured bacterium. Its description in RNAcentral is "partial 16S ribosomal RNA". It matches the Rfam family "Bacterial small subunit ribosomal RNA", at positions 524 to 768 of the family's 1533-position model. The record is from RNAcentral.
UACGGAGGGUGCAAACGUUGCUCGGAAUCAUUGGGCGUAAAGCGCGCGUAGGCGGUUUGGUUAGUCGGGUGUGAAAUCCCUCGGCUUAACCGAGGAAGAGCAUCCGAAACUACCGAGCUAGAGUACCGGAGAGGGCGACGGAAUUCCCGGUGUAGAGGUGAAAUUCGUAGAUAUCGGGAGGAACACCAGCGGCGAAGGCGGUCGCCUGGACGGAUACUGACGCUGAGGCGCGAAAGCGUGGGGAG